RNAcentral lists this transfer RNA (73 nucleotides) under Astroblepus sp. NM-2010. RNAcentral's name for it is "tRNA-Asp". It matches the Rfam family "tRNA". Rfam says of the family: Transfer RNA (tRNA) molecules are approximately 80 nucleotides in length. The record is from RNAcentral. Lineage: Eukaryota; Metazoa; Chordata; Actinopteri; Siluriformes; Astroblepidae.
GAAGUACUAGUAAAAAAGAAUAUUACAUUGCCUUGUCAAGGCAUAAUUACAAGUUAAAAUCUUGUGUAUUUUA